RNA transcript from Patella vulgata (common limpet), 2670 nucleotides. RefSeq lists it as uncharacterized. Lineage: Eukaryota; Metazoa; Mollusca; Gastropoda; Patellidae. The record is from RefSeq and is a predicted model, not a curated record. The transcript has 9 exons.
AAUUUAUUGUGCGAAUUCCUACAUUUUCUCUUUACUAUAUUGACAUCUUAAUCCAUUUGUUUUGUUUUAGACUGCACUGCAUUGGGCUGCAAAGCAAGGUAAAGCAGAGGUCAUCAAAUUAUUAGCUGGUAAACCAGGACUCAGUAUGAAUCAAAGAUCAUAUGUAAGUAUAGUAUUAAUUGUUUUAUAACUUAAACCCUCUGUGUGCCAGAAAUAUUUUAAAAUUGAUCAAUAAUAAAUUGUAAUACAUGUAGGUGUUCUAUUAUCUAUAUUUACUUGUUAGUCUAGAAUGAUGAUGCUUUUAAUGAUGAAAUACCUGCCUUGGCUUGGCUUAAUAUUUAGAGAAGAUUAUUGCUUGUGUUUAUUUUGUCAUAGAGUAUAUUUCUUUACUUUUUUAAUUUCAUGUGUUCCACAAUUUUAGGGGGGAUACACAGCACUUCAUUUAGCAGCGAUGCAGGGACAUGAAGAUAUCAUAGAAUUAUUAGUUCAAAAUUAUAAGGCUGAUUCUAAUAUAAGAGAUUACAGCGGGAAAAAAGCUAAACAAUAUUUAAAGAACUCAGCUUCAUCACGCACACAACCGAUCACAAUAUCUUUGAGCAACAAACAGGUUGAUAAAAAAUUACUAUUAUCAAGAAGACUUGCAGCUACAUCAACCAACAAAGGUCAAUCGCUUGAUGACAGUUUUCUUCGUACUAAUUUACGAAAGAGUAAUCGUGCUAGGGCUAUAUCAUCCUUAAUUCAAGCCACAGCCUCAGCAGUACAUCGUAAUAAAUCUACUAUGCUACGAGCUAGUUGGGGUAGUUCAUCAGAAGAUGUUACAGAAGAUCCUACUCCUCCUGGUAGUACUCAUUCAUCACCAUCUAAUAAACGUAAAAGUUCUGGAAGUGAACCUAAAGACCGAUUUUUAAUGCCUCCUCCCAGUGCACCCACACAGAGACGUAAUAAAUCUGCCAGUAGAGAUAAUUUAACAACACAAAGUGCCAGUGCAAUAGAUGAAAGAAGUUUAACAAAUUCUAACAGUGAUUCAGCUUUAUCCAGUAAAGUGACAGUCAUAAACUAGUUCUGUUAUUUAUAUAAAGGUGCCAUAUUGUUUAUUGUUAUAAUCAUGCCAUGAUGAAUUUAUAUUUUUCUACAACUAUUGGCAAUGAAAUUCUUUAAAUCUUAAAUAUAUAAGAUUCUGUGGUUCAGAAAAAAAAAAAAAAAAAAAAAUCAACAAUUUACCAAAAACAAGUAGUUGGUUGGUGUAAAAAUCUCUUCUUCUUGAUUAAGGUUGGCACUGUGAUAGCAGGCCCCUGAAAAACAAAGCUUGUCCAAAAAUUAAAAAAUACCUGGAUGUCCUAUUCAUGGCUGUGUCCCAGGCAAGUUGUUGAAUAUGACAUGUUUGAAUAUGACAUGUCUAUACUUUUACCAAUCUUAUUAAAAUACAAAUCUAUAUUUCGUUUCAUUUUUUUAUACUUUCAAUGGCCUCUACUACAUGGGGUAAUACAUGCGGCUUUUGACCCUAUGACAUCAGACAUUUAAUUAAUCAAUCAGCAUUGAUGUUUCUAGUAGGAUACCCACAGUUCCGUGCAUCGCACGCUAAGAACUCGCUGCAACAGACUGUUUCAUUGGCUAAUCCCUCACAUCAACCAAAACGUGGGUUAUAUAACAACUCUUCCAGAUCCUAUGUAGUAAAGACAAGUAAAACAAAAUUUUGAACUAUAAAAAAACGAAACGAAAUAGGAUCUGUGUUUUAAUCAGAUUGUACUUUUAUUAAAUGGUUAUAUAUUAUAGUUAAAGUGUUAUAGUGCUUUGUUAAAUAAUAUAUUGUUAAGAGUUCCCCUUGAAUCAUUGACUAAGUCAUAUGUUGUUGGGGAAUAUUAUGUUAAGGAACUAAUUACAAUCUGCUACAAAUCAUAAAAUUCAUAGUCAGCAAAAUGCUACCGCUGGUACUGGUAUGUUAAAAAAAAUCAAAGAUAAAGGUUAGCCCGAUUACAUGCAUAAUGAUGGCCAUUUUUGAAAUGAUGCAAAUUCAUUUGGGUAUUAUCAAUUCAUAAAGUUUAUCCAUGACCUAUCAAUAAUUUCUAAUUAUAUAAUGAAUACUGCUUGUUUUUGUUUUUUUUUACUAUACCACUGAGAAUAUUCUACAUAGAUCUAUUAAAGAGAUGUAUCACCUAUAGUAGCCUCAAUUCAGGACUAAGGGACGUGUGUAGUUUUGGCUUGGCCAAUCCCCUGCCAUGGCCAAGUAGGCGCCAAAUAAUCAAGGUUUAUUGGUUAAACCAAGGGUAGUGUAUGGACCAGGGGGUCAAAUGAAAAUAAUCUCUCCCCCCCCCCCCUCCCCCGGAAAUAAACACCCAACAAAACAAGUUCCACCAUUUAUCCAUACGUUAACAAUUUGGGAAAAUAAGGAGAUAUUUAAUAAAUAUCUGUCAUUUAGACAGGCCAAUGGAACAUUUCUGGGAUGGGAAAUCAAAUAAAAAAUUUGUCUUGGUGCUCUUUCUUACUCACUCUGCCAAAACAAAUUCCUGGAUACAUGCUUUUUGUGGAAAUUGAAAGACUUAUAUGUUCAUCAUAUAAUAAUAUUUAAUAACGAAAUCAUAUAUUUUUUAAAUAAUAUUUUACAUUGCAUGAUAAAAUGUAUAUAAAUUGUAUAAUAUUUGUUAUACAUAUAUAAAGCUUUUCCCCAUGAAA